AUGGCCGGGGACCCGCGACUUCCCGGCGGCAUCGACCGGAUAAGCGGCCUCACGGACGACCUGCUCGGGCACAUCCUCUCCUUCAUGCCCGUCUGGGAGGCUGUGCGCCUGUCCGCGCUCUCCAGGCGGUGGCGGGGCGCCUGGGCCCACGCCCCCGUCCUCAACAUCUCCGAUAAGCAGCACCCGGACCGGUUCCUCGACUUCGCCGGCGCGGCGCUCGCGCGGUACGGCCAGCCCGACAUCCCGUCCCUCGCCGUGACCAUCGGUCGCCGGUCCAGUCUCGGCCCCGCCACGGCCGCUUGGCUCCGCGGCGCCAUGGAGCACGUCGUCGGAUCUAUCCGCGUCCAGGUGGACCGGCACACCCCUCCGCUGGAUCAGCUGGUUCUGCCACGCAGCCUGCGAGCCACGGCCAUGGCCCUGGACUUGAGCGGCGACGUCCUCUCCAAAGGCGUGCUCGUCCUCCCGGAGCCUGCCGAACCUGCCCCUUUCCGGCGGAUGACAGAGCUGAGCCUCUCGAGCGUGCGUCUGCAGGUGCAGCCAGACAGGCUUGGCGAGUUCUUGUCGUCAUGCUUCCCCCAGCUGAGGAAGCUGCGCCUUCGCAAAGUUUGCAAUGUGGCCGCGGAGCCGAGACUCUGGCCACUGAUGCUCGAUAUGGACAUGCUCGAGCUGGAGGUCGACAGCAUCCACCAACUAACGGUGCUGCAGGUAGUGGCUGCCAAACUCCGGCUGCUGAUCGUGAGACACUGCUUCGAGAGUCUGGCUGUGCUCCGCGCCGACAUCGUGUUCAAGGUCUUCGCGCCGGGGCUGGAGGUGAUCAGCUGGACCGGCUGGUUCCCGAAGCAGCUCAACUUCCUACCCGACGCGCAAUGUGUACGCCGACUGUCCGGCAUCAUUGUCAACUGGCCCAGCAUAUCGUGGGCUGACUACUGUUUGCCGGGUGUCAUGCAGUUGCUCGAGACAUGCUGUGGAGCUGACCGGCUAGAUCUUUGUGUCGACAUCUAUGAUGGAUGGGUUCCAUCCAUGGUAUCAAAACAGGAUUUCAUGGAACGCAUGCCACACCUUCCCAACAUCAGGACACUCUCCCUGACGAUCGUCGCGAUUCUCCGAAUGCUUCGCUCUCCAAUUGGUGAAAUUGUCUUCUGCUUCCUUAGGCGAUGCCCGAACCUAACUCUGCUUCACAUCGACCUAUCGACGCUGCACCAGUUUACAAGGCAGGAUCCGCGUUAUCUUGUGUUUCCGGAAGAUGAUGCUGAAACUAAAGCUGCAAAGCCAUGUCAAGACCGCGAAUAUGAUCCGCGUAAAGCACACAAAUACCAAUUGCGACUAGGCUCUCUUCGAAAGAUAAGAAUAAGUGGCUUUGCCGGAACGGAUGCUGAGAUGGAGCUCGCCGAUCUUCUUUUCGGAAUUGGAGCCGAGCGGUCGGCGCUCGAGGGGAUAUCUAUAUCAUCAUUUGCACAGCUGAAGGGUCGCAUUGGCAGGAUCGCCCAGAAGAUGAGGGCACGGUUCCCUCUUGUAGGAGGGCGCUGGGAAAUCUCUUCCUUGGAAGAGAGCACGUGGACGAAGAACAAUGAUGGCCUGGAAAGAUCAAAUGCUCUUAGAUCAACAACCAUAAUGUAG
This 1617-nucleotide ribosomal RNA is filed under the name Triticum aestivum (bread wheat). RNAcentral describes it as "partial small subunit ribosomal RNA". The record is from RNAcentral. Lineage: Eukaryota; Viridiplantae; Streptophyta; Magnoliopsida; Poales; Poaceae.